UCUCACUGUCACAUGAUCUGUGGGUGAAAUGGCAUGUGUUAUUUAUGUACAGACUAUUAUGAUAACAAUAUGUCUAGAUUAUUAUGAGUAGGUUAAUGGUGAAAGAAAUCGCGCUAGAAAACUUUUCGAAUAGUGACUUCAAAAGUUUAGGUUAGGCCAGUUUUAGACGGAAUCUUAGCGAAGUGAGCUCUAGAGUCAUCAGGGAAUGUGUGGGAUGAUAUGUCUAGGGUGGGUUAUAUUUUCUAGUAGUCAAGACAUUAAGGAACCCGUAGUCAUUUAUGGAAUCAAAUUUGAGUGAGUAAAACUUCCGAAAUCAAACUUGGUCUAAAGGGGAUAGUUUGGGACGUCAAGAGAAGAAUAUAUAUUCUGAAAAAGGGGUUCUCAAGGGUUUCCAAGUCUCUACAGUUCGUGUAAUCUGCUAUAGUGGAUGACAUCCCACUAUAGUGAGCGCGUGCAGGCGCUAUAGCGGGACUACAAUAACUAUAGGGUGGUCGUUAUAACGAGUCGAGUCACUAUAGUAGGAUAAGUCGGGAUUUUAUGCAGAAAAAGUCUCAAGACCUCCUAUUUUUUGUAACAUUGUUCUUGGGUUUUAGGGAGCGAAUUAGGGCAGUUUCUAUUUAAUUUUCCACCAAGUUCAUCGAUAAAGGUAAGUUCACUACUCCCCCGUCUUUCAAAUUGAUUCUUAAGCCUUAUAAUCUAAGAUAUUACUCUUGGGGAGGGUUUUGACUUGAUUUAAUGAUGGAAAAAGCUCUGGAUUGGAUAGAAUGAUCAUGAAUUGGCGUGGGGUAGAGUUUAGUAUAAUUCUGAUAUAUUUAGAUCAUUUUAGAUUGAUUGCUACAUGCAUUUAUUAUUUUAGACCAAUAACAAGGCAAGGCAUUGAACAAGGGGAAAGUUCGGGUUCUUUAGAGUUUCUACGAGGCUAUUCGAGGUAAGUGAUGGCUGUAUGUUUUUUAAUGUAUUCAUGUCUACUGCUUUAUAGUAUGCAUGAUGGGGAAAACAUAUGGAAAAAAUUAAAAUGACACAGUGUUUAUAAUCUCAUGCAAUGAACCUAUUUACUUUACUUGUGAUUUCAACUGUUAUUGUUCAUUGUGAUUGUGAUUGUGCAUGUAUGUUGUUUGUAAUUGUUGGUUGGCUUGGGUACCACCCCAGUACAAGAAUACUAACGGUUGGUUUGAAUAUCACGCCUCAUAUGAAUACAAAUAUUGAUUAGCUCGGAUCGAUACACUAACAGUUUGUGUGUGGGUUCCUUGAAAGGAUUAGGUAUGUUAAUUGUGGUUCCAUGAGAAGAUGGGUAUUUAUAAUUAUGAUCAUGUGGGACAUGUUACCGGUAUUGAUUGAUUCAUGAUAUUGUGAUUGGAAGUCUAUGCGUAUUCGUGAUUGUAAUUAUAUGUGUUGGUCAGUGUUUACUAUGUUGUAGUUGUAUGUUUACAUUCAUAAUGUGGAAUUGGUCAUGUGAUUUUAUCAUUACACUGUGAUUGUGGUUGAUAAUGCACUCACUCUUUCCUUGCUAAGUACAGAGUAUAUUCAGGCAGCAGAUACGAGACCUCAAUUGAAGGAAAUUUGACCUUUCGAAUCCAAGGACGAGUUACUCUUCCAGGUUGUGUUGAGUUCUUCUAUCGUUUUCUUAUUCAUCUCUUCGGACAUAAACUUUUGUACAAUUCGUUAUGUUAUCUAGUUUUCGGGGUUGCAUCCCCAUAAUUGAUUAAUUGGAGUUUUGUUAUCACAACUUUAUGUUUUAGGGGCUUUAUUUUGCAC
RNAcentral lists this long non-coding RNA (1755 nucleotides) under Solanum tuberosum (potato). Its description in RNAcentral is "long non-coding RNA (STUB_LNC010150)". Lineage: Eukaryota; Viridiplantae; Streptophyta; Magnoliopsida; Solanales; Solanaceae. The record is from RNAcentral.